GAAGGAAGAAAGGAAGAAAAGAAGCAAGGAAGGAAGGAAGGAAGGAAGGAAGCAAGGAAAGAAGGAAGGUCGGAAGCUCCUUCUCUCGGCUCGCAUCGUGGUCCACCGCGGAAGAACUGCUGGAACUCGGAUCGAAUAAGAAGAGAAAGACGGAGAAGAAGAAGACGAAGAAGAAAAAUACGAAGGAGAAGACGAAGAAGAAGAUGAAGAAGAAGGAGGAGAAGAGGCUGCGGCCCUUUUGCACGAGGCUCGCUAGCAGAUUGGACAGGACGGCUCCCUGCACGUUUGCUAUUCGUGCGAGGGCCAUGAACCCCGAACAGAGCGAGACCAAACGGCAUGAACUAACAAUUUCGUUUGUUACCACCCGGCCCGUAGUCUUGCUCCUGGCCGGCCGGGGCUGCCUGGGGUAGAAGAGGAGGGCCGCAAAAUGGAUAGAGCAAGAUCGAAAUGUUAUUAAUGCUGCGCCGCACCGUCGAGAGACAAUCGCCUACCUGACCGACCAAUUCGUCGUGACCAUAAGGACUCGAUUGACGAAAUUGGAAAGGACAUGGACCCCGGACGUAUCCCGUUCGGAAGGUCAUCGUACGAUAAUAACGAGCGUUAGAUACCAGUAUAGAUACACGAUGAAGAGUUCUUUUGUCAACCACAUCAUCGUCAUUCGGAGAUUACAGCGAGAGGUUGCAGACGGUCAAGCCACGACGUCGCCGAACGCUCGGCAGAUAUUUGCUCGCUCUAAUUCGGCCUUGAGUCUAAUACUCGUCAUUGACCAGUGGUCGUAGACCUCGGCGAACGUUCGUUUCGCGAGAGCCUCGUUCGCCGGUUAGAAGAAACCACAGAACGGACGACGUUCCAAUAUAAUAACAGCCGAGCCAGUUCUGCGCUACCUGCCGUUCGUUUGUUCAUUCGUUUGAGAAAGACAGAGAGAAAGAGAGAGAGAGAGAGAGAGAGAGAGAAAGAGAGAGAGAGACUUAUCGAAACGACGAGACCAUUUUUCCUCCCUUUGUAUCGGAUCCUUCUCGAUCUUUUUCUCAACGGUCCGUGGACGGUCAACGUUUAAUCUCGAAAACAAUGGAUCGUCUUUCAAGAACGUACAAUCUAUUCAAGAUCGAAGAGGUCUUCUUCUUCUUUGCCAAAACGCUGUGUCUCGAAUAUCAUUAGCCGAGCACGAAGGCCAGGAAGAAGGGUGGAAGGGGAGGUGUUGGAGGUGGUGCGUUGGAAAUGAAGGAGAGGAGAGGAGAACCGACGGUGGCUCCUCAAACUACUCUUCUCACUCUGUACUCGCGCACUCGUCGACUCGUUGGGACAUAAAGAGACGCCUUGUCCGUGUUUCGGCGGGCGCGAUAGCGCGUUAGACGACGUCUGCACGGUAACAUAGCAGGUAACAGACGGUGGAAGGACAUUCUUCGUCUAGGACUAGACACCGUUAGAUCUUCCAGACGGUUGGAACGUCGGAAAGAGAGAGGGAAAAAGAGAAAGACGGAGAGAAAGAAAGAG
Molecule: long non-coding RNA, 1494 nt
Organism: Vespula pensylvanica (western yellowjacket)
Lineage: Eukaryota; Metazoa; Arthropoda; Insecta; Hymenoptera; Vespidae
Exons: 8
Source: RefSeq, a predicted model, not a curated record